This 262-nucleotide unclassified non-coding RNA is filed under the name Glomus sp. Its description in RNAcentral is "partial contains 5.8S ribosomal RNA and internal transcribed spacer 2". The stretch from base 1 to 65 matches the Rfam family "5.8S ribosomal RNA", at positions 84 to 154 of the family's 154-position model. Lineage: Eukaryota; Fungi; Glomeromycota; Glomeromycetes; Glomerales; Glomeraceae. The record is from RNAcentral.
GUGAAUCAUCGAAUCUUUGAACGCAAAUUGCACUCUCCUCGGAGAGUAUGCCCGUUUGAGGGUCAGCCUAUAAAAAAUCGACAUCGUUGCUGUUUCGCGGUGGCAUUCGUCGGUAAAUGGGUUAUAUUCAAUCCUUUUGGGUUUUAAGCGACAUACAAUUUUCUUCUUGGUUCCAUGAACGAUUCUAAGAUUUAUUUCUAUACACGUUUAAGGUAUCGAUUUUUGUUAGACGUGACCAUCAUAUCGGAUCACGUCCAUAAUC